Molecule: ribosomal RNA, 2891 nt
Filed under: Acinetobacter baumannii 42057_6
Lineage: Bacteria; Pseudomonadati; Pseudomonadota; Gammaproteobacteria; Moraxellales; Moraxellaceae
Description: bacterial LSU rRNA
Rfam family: Bacterial large subunit ribosomal RNA
Source: RNAcentral
UCAAGUAAUUAAGUGCAUGUGGUGGAUGCCUUGGCAGUCAGAGGCGAUGAAAGACGUGAUAGCCUGCGAAAAGCUCCGGGGAGGCGGCAAAUAUCCUUUGAUCCGGAGAUGUCUGAAUGGGGGAACCCACCUACUUUAAGGUAGGUAUUGCAACAUGAAUACAUAGUGUUGCAAGGCGAACGAGGGGAAGUGAAACAUCUCAGUACCCUUAGGAAAAGAAAUCAAUUGAGAUUCCCUCAGUAGCGGCGAGCGAACGGGGAUCAGCCCAUUAAGUUAUGUGUGUUUUAGUGGAACGCUCUGGGAAGUGCGAACGUAGAGGGUGAUAUUCCCGUACACGAAAGGGCACACAUAAUGAUGACGAGUAGGGCGAGGCACGUGAAACCUUGUCUGAAUAUGGGGGGACCAUCCUCCAAGGCUAAAUACUCCUGACUGACCGAUAGUGAACCAGUACCGUGAGGGAAAGGCGAAAAGAACCCCUGUGAGGGGAGUGAAAUAGAUCCUGAAACCGCAUGCAUACAAGCAGUGGGAGCACCUUCGUGGUGUGACUGCGUACCUUUUGUAUAAUGGGUCAGCGACUUAUAUUCAGUAGCGAGGUUAACCGUAUAGGGGAGCCGUAGAGAAAUCGAGUCUUAAUAGGGCGUUUAGUUGCUGGGUAUAGACCCGAAACCAGGCGAUCUAUCCAUGAGCAGGUUGAAGGUUGGGUAACACUAACUGGAGGACCGAACCCACUGUCGUUGAAAAGCCAGGGGAUGACUUGUGGAUAGGGGUGAAAGGCUAAUCAAGCCUGGUGAUAGCUGGUUCUCCCCGAAAGCUAUUUAGGUAGCGCCUCGGACGAAUACCAUAGGGGGUAGAGCACUGUUUCGGCUAGGGGGUCAUCCCGACUUACCAAACCGAUGCAAACUCCGAAUACCUAUGAGUACUAUCCGGGAGACAGACUGCGGGUGCUAACGUCCGUAGUCAAGAGGAAAACAAUCCAGACCGCCAGCUAAGGCCCCAAAAUCAUAGUUAAGUGGGAAACGAUGUGGGAAGGCAUAGACAGCUAGGAGGUUGGCUUAGAAGCAGCCACCCUUUAAAGAAAGCGUAAUAGCUCACUAGUCGAGUCGGCCUGCGCGGAAGAUGUAACGGGGCUAAAACUAUGUGCCGAAGCUGCGGAUGUAUACUUUGUAUACGUGGUAGGGGAGCGUUCUGUAAGCCGAUGAAGGUGUGUUGAGAAGCAUGCUGGAGGUAUCAGAAGUGCGAAUGCUGACGUGAGUAACGACAAAACGGGUGAAAAACCCGUUCGCCGAAAGACCAAGGGUUCCAGUCCAACGUUAAUCGGGGCUGGGUGAGUCGACCCCUAAGGCGAGGCCGAAAGGCGUAGUCGAUGGGAAAAUGGUUAAUAUUCCAUUACUUCUGUGUAAUGCGAUGAGAGGACGGAGAAGGCUAAAUCAGCCUGGCGUUGGUUGUCCAGGUGAAAGGAUGUAGGCAUGUAUCUUAGGCAAAUCCGGGGUACUCUAUGCUGAGAUCUGAUAGCAAGCUGUACUUGUACAGCGAAGUGGUUGAUGCCAUGCUUCCAGGAAAAGUCUCUAAGCUUCAGUUACACAGGAAUCGUACCCGAAACCGACACAGGUGGUCAGGUCGAGUAGACCAAGGCGCUUGAGAGAACUCUGCUGAAGGAACUAGGCAAAAUGGUACCGUAACUUCGGGAGAAGGUACGCUGUUGUUGGUGAUGGAACUCGCUUCCUGAGCUGACGACAGCCGCAGAAACCAGGCCGCUGCAACUGUUUAUUAAAAACAUAGCACUCUGCAAACACGAAAGUGGACGUAUAGGGUGUGAUGCCUGCCCGGUGCUGGAAGGUUAAUUGAUGGGGUUAGCGUAAGCGAAGCUCUUGAUCGAAGCCCCAGUAAACGGCGGCCGUAACUAUAACGGUCCUAAGGUAGCGAAAUUCCUUGUCGGGUAAGUUCCGACCUGCACGAAUGGCAUAAUGAUGGCGGCGCUGUCUCCAGCAGAGGCUCAGUGAAAUCGAAAUCGCUGUGAAGAUGCAGUGUACCCGCGGCUAGACGGAAAGACCCCGUGAACCUUUACUGCAGCUUGACACUGAACUUUGACCUUACUUGUGUAGGAUAGGUGGGAGGCUUUGAAGCUGGAACGCUAGUUCCAGUGGAGCCGUCCUUGAAAUACCACCCUGGUAAUGUUGAGGUUCUAACUCUGUCCCGUGAUCCGGGACGAGGACCGUGUCUGGUGGGUAGUUUGACUGGGGCGGUCUCCUCCUAAAGAGUAACGGAGGAGUACGAAGGUGCGCUCAGCGUGGUCGGAAAUCACGCGUAGAGUAUAAAGGCAAAAGCGCGCUUAACUGCGAGACCCACAAGUCGAGCAGGUACGAAAGUAGGUCUUAGUGAUCCGGUGGUUCUGUAUGGAAGGGCCAUCGCUCAACGGAUAAAAGGUACUCUGGGGAUAACAGGCUGAUACCGCCCAAGAGUUCAUAUCGACGGCGGUGUUUGGCACCUCGAUGUCGGCUCAUCUCAUCCUGGGGCUGAAGCAGGUCCCAAGGGUAUGGCUGUUCGCCAUUUAAAGAGGUACGCGAGCUGGGUUUAGAACGUCGUGAGACAGUUCGGUCCCUAUCUACCGUGGGCGCUGGAAAUUUGAGAGGAUCUGCUCCUAGUACGAGAGGACCAGAGUGGACGAACAUCUGGUGUACCGGUUGUGACGCCAGUCGCAUCGCCGGGUAGCUAUGUUCGGAAGGGAUAACCGAUGAAAGCAUCUAAGCGGGAAGCCUACCUCAAGAUAAGAUUUCCCUAGGACUUUAUGUCCUCUAAAGAGCCGUUCGAGACUAGGACGUUGAUAGGUUGGAUGUGGAAGCAUAGUGAUAUGUGAAGCUGACCAAUACUAAUUGCUCGUGAGGCUUGACUAU